GACGAACGCUGGCGGCGUGCUUAACGCAUGCAAGUCGAACGGAAAGGCCCUGCUUUUGUGGGGUGCUCGAGUGGCGAACGGGUGAGUAACACGUGAGUAACCUGCCCUUGACUUUGGGAUAACUUCAGGAAACUGGGGCUAAUACCGGAUAGGAGCUCCUGCUGCAUGGUGGGGGUUGGAAAGUUUCGGCGGUUGGGGAUGGACUCGCGGCUUAUCAGCUUGUUGGUGGGGUAGUGGCUUACCAAGGCUUUGACGGGUAGCCGGCCUGAGAGGGUGACCGGUCACAUUGGGACUGAGAUACGGCCCAGACUCCUACGGGAGGCAGCAGUGGGGAAUAUUGCACAAUGGGCGGAAGCCUGAUGCAGCAACGCCGCGUGCGGGAUGACGGCCUUCGGGUUGUAAACCGCUUUCGCCUGUGACGAAGCGUGAGUGACGGUAAUGGGUAAAGAAGCACCGGCUAACUACGUG
This 468-nucleotide ribosomal RNA is filed under the name uncultured bacterium. RNAcentral's name for it is "partial 16S ribosomal RNA". It matches the Rfam family "Bacterial small subunit ribosomal RNA", at positions 28 to 507 of the family's 1533-position model. The record is from RNAcentral.